CCUACGGGUGGCAGCAGUGAGGAAUAUUGGUCAAUGGCCGAGAGGCUGAACCAGCCAAGUCGCGUGAGGGAAGACGGCCCUACGGGUUGUAAACCUCUUUUGUCGGGGAGCAAAGCGAGUCACGUGUGACUCAUUGAGAGUACCCGAAGAAAAAGCAUCAGCUAACUCCGUGCCAGCAGCCGCGGUAAUACGGAGGAUGCGAGCGUUAUCCGGAUUUAUUGGGUUUAAAGGGUGCGCAGGCGGAGGUGCAAGUCAGCGGUCAAAUUGCGGGGCUCAACCCCGGCCUGCCGUCGGAACUGGGUGCCUUGAGUGGGCGAGAAGUAUGCGGAAUGUGUGGUGUAGCGGUGAAAUGCAUAGAUAUCACGCAGAACCCCGAUUGCGAAGGCAGCAUACCGGCGCCCUACUGACGCUGAGGCACGAAAGUGCGGGUAUCGAACAGGAUUAGAUACCCUAGUAGUC
This 459-nucleotide ribosomal RNA is filed under the name uncultured bacterium. RNAcentral's name for it is "partial 16S ribosomal RNA". It matches the Rfam family "Bacterial small subunit ribosomal RNA", at positions 338 to 795 of the family's 1533-position model. The record is from RNAcentral.